GGCCUGCACGUAACGUAACGCACGGCGCUGUAGCGGAUCCCCCUCCUCCACCUCUCUCUCCUCUAGGCGCCGCCGGUUCUCCUUUCCUCUCCUCCUUUGACUCCCUCCGCCGCCGCCGCUGCCGCCUACACGUACGGGCCAGGGUCCAACCCCCGAAGCCAGGGCUAGCCGAGGCCUGUCUGAGCAACGGUUUUCCGCACUGCUGCUUAUCCGCUGACGAAGAACUCCCACCAGCCCCAAAUCCCAGCGGAAGAUGCAGGCCAAGAAGCUGACGCUCCUGCAGACGGUGGCUGCCGCCGGAGUCUUCUCAGCCGUCUCCUUCUGGUACGGCUUCAUGUUUGGGAGGGAGUCCGCGCGGCGCGAGCUUGGCGGCAUCAUCGACGACCUUCGCAGCGGCUCCACGGCCACCUCUGCCGCGCCCUCCCCCGACUCCCACGCUCACACCAAACCAUAGUGCGAUCCUGCUCUAAGGAGGUGGGUAUUAGAAGAGUUGCCAAACAGUUCUGUGUGAUUUGGUCAUCAAUUCUUCCACUGUAUAACAAUGGUGUACAUUCGCUCUCCUGGCGCACCUAAGCUGGAAAGUGGCAGUGGAUAAUCCGAAAUAUCCGAUAUCCGUAUGCGGGAAAAUGACUAUCCGUAUCUGAAAUAUCCGCACCCGAAUUAAAAUGUAAAUGGAAGGUAUCCGGAUCUAUUUUAUUACAAAUACUAAUACAAAUAUGGUAGUAGUAUGAGAUUUUGACACAGAUAUGGAUAUGGAAGUGGAUAUACCCGUAGCCGAAUAAAAUUACAUGAGCUAAUUGUAGCAGUUCUAGCUCUAAUAUGCCAAUUGUCCAACAUAAAAUGCCUAAGAAGUGGUCACAUUUUACCUUUUCUGCGGUUAAACUUGGAAAUUGUUAUGCAUUAAAGUACUCCCUCUGUAAAUAAAUAUAAGAGUGUUUAGGUCACUACUUUAGUUAUUUAAAUGCUCUUAUAUUUCUUUACGGA
RNA transcript from Triticum dicoccoides, 984 nucleotides. RefSeq lists it as uncharacterized. The transcript has 4 exons. The record is from RefSeq and is a predicted model, not a curated record. NCBI's taxonomy places the organism in Eukaryota, Viridiplantae, Streptophyta, Magnoliopsida, Poales, Poaceae.